This 153-nucleotide ribosomal RNA is filed under the name uncultured eukaryote. RNAcentral describes it as "partial small subunit ribosomal RNA". It matches the Rfam family "Eukaryotic small subunit ribosomal RNA", at positions 1651 to 1799 of the family's 1831-position model. The record is from RNAcentral.
CCCUGCCAUUUGUACACACCGCCCGUCGCUCCUACCGAUUGAAUGGUCCGGUGAGAACUCCGGAUCACGCGUGUGACGCUGGUUCGCCAGUGAUGCACGCGAGAGAAGUUGUUCGAACCUUACCAUUUAGAGGAAGGAGAAGUCGUAACAAGG